Small nucleolar RNA from Callithrix jacchus (white-tufted-ear marmoset), 103 nucleotides. The record is from Ensembl. Lineage: Eukaryota; Metazoa; Chordata; Mammalia; Primates; Cebidae.
AUCACUUUGUAGUUCAUGAGUGUGCUGAUUGGUGUUCAUGCACAUAUGUAAGAUGUGCCACCCUUGAACGUUAUUACAGCAUUGGCACAUGACCUGUUUGACA